AGUCGAACAACAUUGCGUAAUGGUAUUUUUUGUCGUAUUUAUAGAACCUAUGGAAGCUUAUAGGACAGUGUCACCUUUCAUACUACAUGUUGCAGCGUAAUAUGAGCAUAUUGAUGUAAUUUCAGCUCGGAAUUACUUAACAGUGAAUGCAUUUAUGCUUUAAACAGAUUGUCGUGAGGCUAAUAAUAAACAAAUUAAAGAAAUAUACCACGAUUGAGAUGAAAAUAUAGCAAUUGCAAACUUGAUAACCACUGUAUUAUGCAAUCACAUUUUAGAAAUCUAGCUCAGCUGACAAUCAGUUUUGUUCUUAGACCACAGAAAGUUUCCUCUACAAUAACCUACACCAAUUCCAAAAUGUCCCGUAUCCUUGUUGUCAGCUUUUACUUGUUCGCUUUGAUCGUUGCAUUGGAAAGUACCGACGUGUUCCUUCAUGAUGUUACAAACAAUAGAUGGUAUAAACAUGGAACCAAAGAUAAAAAGGCUGUCAUGAG
Long non-coding RNA from Magallana angulata, 491 nucleotides. RefSeq lists it as uncharacterized. Lineage: Eukaryota; Metazoa; Mollusca; Bivalvia; Ostreida; Ostreidae. The record is from RefSeq and is a predicted model, not a curated record. The transcript is spliced from 3 exons.